AUUUCAGGCCAAUCAACUCAAGGCAAAACAACUUGAAGAAAUCAAAGAAGCUUUUCAAAUGUUCGAUAUUGACCAUGAUGGUCAAAUCACGAGUAACGAACUGAAAGCAGUAAUGAAAUCAUUGGGUCAAACACCUUCCGAACAGGAUUUGGAAGAAAUGAUCAGAGAAGUUGACACAGACGUAAAUGGCACAGAUUCUCUGUCCCCCUCAU
Octopus sinensis (East Asian common octopus) is the source of this 212-nucleotide long non-coding RNA. RefSeq lists it as uncharacterized. The transcript has 3 exons. The record is from RefSeq and is a predicted model, not a curated record. Lineage: Eukaryota; Metazoa; Mollusca; Cephalopoda; Octopoda; Octopodidae.